Molecule: ribosomal RNA, 187 nt
Filed under: uncultured Streptococcaceae bacterium
Lineage: Bacteria; Bacillati; Bacillota; Bacilli; Lactobacillales; Streptococcaceae
Description: partial 16S ribosomal RNA
Rfam family: Bacterial small subunit ribosomal RNA
Source: RNAcentral
GGAAACGAUAGCUAAUACCGCAUAAGAGUAGAUGUUGCAUGACAUUUGCUUAAAAGGUGCAAUUGCAUCACUACCAGAUGGACCUGCGUUGUAUUAGCUAGUUGGUGAGGUAACGGCUCACCAAGGCGACGAUACAUAGCCGACCUGAGAGGGUGAUCGGCCACACUGGGACUGAGACACGGCCCAG